Molecule: ribosomal RNA, 257 nt
Filed under: uncultured prokaryote
Description: partial 16S ribosomal RNA
Rfam family: Bacterial small subunit ribosomal RNA
Source: RNAcentral
UACGGAGGAUCCGAGCGUUAUCCGGAAUUAUUGGGUUUAAAGGGUGCGUAGGCGGCCAUUUAAGUCAGCGGUGAAAUUUUGCAGCUUAACUGUAACAGUGCCGUUGAUACUGUUUGGCUAGGAUUUGGUUGUAGUGUGCGGAAUGUGUGGUGUAGCGGUGAAAUGCUUAGAUAUCACACAGAAUAUCGAUUGCGAAGGCAGCUCACAAAGCCAAGAUUGACGCUGAGGCACGAAAGUGUGGGGAUCAAACAGGAUUA